UUCUAGCCCAAAGGUCCAAAGUC
RNAcentral lists this unclassified non-coding RNA (23 nucleotides) under Mus musculus (house mouse). RNAcentral describes it as "oocyte_clustered_small_RNA5897". The record is from RNAcentral. Lineage: Eukaryota; Metazoa; Chordata; Mammalia; Rodentia; Muridae.